GAAGAAGUGAAUUAAGGGCAUUUGGUGGAUGCCUUGGCAUGCACAGGCGAAGAAGGACGUGAUACGCUGCGAAAAGCCGUGGGGAGCUGCGAAUAAGCUUUGAUCCAUGGAUCUCCGAAUGGGGCAACCCACCUUAAAUGCUUGGAAAAUCCAGUCUGUUUUAUGAACGGCCUGGGUUUCCAAGCAUUGUGAUAAGGUAUCUUACUUUCGAAUACAUAGGGGUAAGAAGCGAACGCAGGGAACUGAAACAUCUAAGUACCUGCAGGAAAGGACAUCAACCGAGACUCCGUAAGUAGUGGCGAGCGAACGCGGACCAGGCCAGUGGCAAUGAUGAAUAAAGCGGAACGAUUUGGAAAAGUCGGCCAUAGAG
Molecule: ribosomal RNA, 370 nt
Filed under: Agrobacterium sp. 13-2099-1-2
Lineage: Bacteria; Pseudomonadati; Pseudomonadota; Alphaproteobacteria; Hyphomicrobiales; Rhizobiaceae
Description: bacterial LSU rRNA
Rfam family: Bacterial large subunit ribosomal RNA
Source: RNAcentral